GGAGAGAUAGCUCAGUGGUUAAGAGCACCGGAUACUCUUCCAGAGGACCUGGGUUCAAUUCCCAGCUCCC
Molecule: transfer RNA, 70 nt
Filed under: Cricetulus griseus (Chinese hamster)
Lineage: Eukaryota; Metazoa; Chordata; Mammalia; Rodentia; Cricetidae
Rfam family: tRNA
About the family: Transfer RNA (tRNA) molecules are approximately 80 nucleotides in length. Their secondary structure includes four short double-helical elements and three loops (D, anti-codon, and T loops). Further hydrogen bonds mediate the characteristic L-shaped molecular structure. tRNAs have two regions of fundamental functional importance: the anti-codon, which is responsible for specific mRNA codon recognition, and the 3' end, to which the tRNAs corresponding amino acid is attached (by aminoacyl-tRNA synthetases). tRNAs cope with the degeneracy of the genetic code in two manners: having more than one tRNA (with a specific anti-codon) for a particular amino acid; and 'wobble' base-pairing, i.e. permitting non-standard base-pairing at the 3rd anti-codon position.
Source: Rfam by way of RNAcentral